GCCUGUGCCUCCACCGCCAAGUGCCUGAACAUCUGGGCCCUGACUGUGGGCAUCCUUGUGACGACUGCACUCACCAUCCUUUCACCAGUAGUUCUGUGAUAAUAUUCCAAUCAAUUUCUCAGAUGACAAAGAAUCUCCAGGGCCAGUAGUAGCACCCAGUAGCUGCCGCUGCCCUACUGGUGCAGGAAGCCGAUCAACUGACUCUAGAGACUGUGAAUACCCUAAACCCAGCUGCCUUGCUCCUCAUCGCGUCAGUACCGGGAAUGUGGGCGGAGGAUUACCCGCGGGUCGAGGCAAGAGACUGAAGGUACAGACUGUUUCCGUAUAAUAAAGCAAAUAGAACAAGAACAGUUGUAAUACAAAUUAGAUAUAGAGAUGAUCAUGAACAUUAUCAAUCAUAAGUAUAAACAUUACUAAUCAUUGGCUUUUAAUAUUACUCUUUGUUGCAUUACUAAUAUAACCAAGGAAUCACCGGGGGUUAUAGGGUCAGGUGCUGAAGGGACAUCAUGAGAAGUGACCGAGAAGGCAAGAGAUGAAUCCUCCGUCACGCCCACGUAAGGGCCGCGUGAGGGCUCCUUGGUCAAGCGGUAACGCCAGUGUCUGUGAAGACACCCGUUACUUAGCAGACCGCGAAAGGGAGUCUCCUUUCCUUGGAGGAGUCAGGGAACACUCUGCUCCCGGCUUUUUGUGGGAGGCUGGAUAUGAUCCAGGCCUGCCCGCAGUCAUCUGGAGGCCGAAACCCCUCCCUGUAGUGCAGUGCUUCAACAGUCACUCUCCUUGUCCACUUCCAUGUUCCUCCCGUACUCCUGAUUCCUCUUUGAAGUUCGUAGUAGAUAGCGGUAGAAGACAUAGUGAAAGUCUUAAAGUCUUUGAUCUUUUUGAUAAAUGCAGAGAAGAAAACGCUGACGUAUGCUGCCUUCCCGCUCUGCUUCGGCUGCCUAUAAGGGAAGGGCCCCCUGUCCCAUGAUCAUGUGACUUGGCUGACCUUAUCAAUGACUUGGACGACUCACCCUCCUUACCCUAACCCCUUGUCUUGUAUGCAGUAAAUAUCAGCGCCCAGCCAUUCGGGGCCAUUACCGGUCUCCACAUCUGGGUGGUAGUGGUGUCCGGGCCCAGCUGUUUUCUCUUUAUCUCUUUGUCUUGUGUCUUUAUUUCUAACGAUCUCUCAUCGUUAGAAAUAGCUCUGACAAGAGCUCUCCGGCUAGCAAAAGACCAGAAGGCGAAUAUUUACACAGAUUCCAAAUAUGCUUCUACCACUUUGCAUGUUCAUAAGGCUAUUUACAAAGAAUAAAAGACUUUUAACCACUGGAGGUAAAAAAAUAAAGUAUCAGGAAGAAAUUAAAGUAUAAGAAAUAAAGUAUAAGCAAUGACAACCCCACCUUCUAAAGAGGAAGCCUUAGCUGUACCUCUCCUCCUGGAGACCCCAAACUCCACUCCACAUGAAAAGGCUCGGUUUACCCAGAAAAAUAAGAACUACAUCGAAGGAAGAUGGUAAAAAUUCUCCAAUGGGAGGCUAGCCAUUCCUGAAAUGGUCGCCCCCAGAUUUGUAAAACAGUUCCACCAAGGAACUCAUAAAAAAAUUAAAAAUUAAAAA
Molecule: long non-coding RNA, 1594 nt
Organism: Piliocolobus tephrosceles (Ugandan red Colobus)
Lineage: Eukaryota; Metazoa; Chordata; Mammalia; Primates; Cercopithecidae
Exons: 2
Source: RefSeq, a predicted model, not a curated record